UGGCGGCAGGCCUAACACAUGCAAGUCGAGCGGAUGAGAGGAGCUUGCUCCUGGAUUCAGCGGCGGACGGGUGAGUAAUGCCUAGGAAUCUGCCUGGUAGUGGGGGACAACGUUUCGAAAGGAACGCUAAUACCGCAUACGUCCUACGGGAGAAAGCAGGGGACCUUCGGGCCUUGCGCUAUCAGAUGAGCCUAGGUCGGAUUAGCUAGUUGGUGAGGUAAUGGCUCACCAAGGCGACGAUCCGUAACUGGUCUGAGAGGAUGAUCAGUCACACUGGAACUGAGACACGGUCCAGACUCCUACGGGAGGCAGCAGUGGGGAAUAUUGGACAAUGGGCGAAAGCCUGAUCCAGCCAUGCCGCGUGUGUGAAGAAGGUCUUCGGAUUGUAAAGCACUUUAAGUUGGGAGGAAGGGUUGUAGAUUAAUACUCUGCUGUUUUGACGUUACCGACAGAAUAAGCACCGGCUAACUCUGUGCCAGCAGCCGCGGUAAUACAGAGGGUGCAAGCGUUAAUCGGAAUUACUGGGCGUAAAGCGCGCGUAGGUGGUUUGUUAAGUUGGAUGUGAAAUCCCCGGGCUCAACCUGGGAACUGCAUCCAAAACUGGCAAGCUAGAGUAUGGUAGAGGGUGGUGGAAUUUCCUGUGUAGCGGUGAAAUGCGUAGAUAUAGGAAGGAACACCAGUGGCGAAGGCGACCACCUGGACUGAUACUGACACUGAGGUGCGAAAGCGUGGGGAGCAAACAGGAUUAGAUACCCUGGUAGUCCACGCCGUAAACGAUGUCAACUAGCCGUUGGGAGCCUUGAGCUCUUAGUGGCGCAGCUAACGCAUUAAGUUGACCGCCUGGGGAGUACGGCCGCAAGGUUAAAACUCAAAUGAAUUGACGGGGGCCCGCACAAG
Molecule: ribosomal RNA, 897 nt
Filed under: Pseudomonas koreensis
Lineage: Bacteria; Pseudomonadati; Pseudomonadota; Gammaproteobacteria; Pseudomonadales; Pseudomonadaceae
Description: bacterial SSU rRNA
Rfam family: Bacterial small subunit ribosomal RNA
Source: RNAcentral